This 496-nucleotide ribosomal RNA is filed under the name uncultured bacterium. RNAcentral's name for it is "partial 16S ribosomal RNA". It matches the Rfam family "Bacterial small subunit ribosomal RNA", at positions 29 to 507 of the family's 1533-position model. The record is from RNAcentral.
AUGAACGCUGGCGGCGUGCCUAAUACAUGCAAGUCGAGCGAACGGACGAGAAGCUUGCUUUUCUGAUGUUAGCGGCGGACGGGUGAGUAACACGUGGAUAACCUACCUAUAAGACUGGGAUAACUUCGGGAAACCGGAGCUAAUACCGGAUAAUAUUUUGAACCGCAUGGUUCAAAAGCGAAAGACGGUCUUGCUGUCACUUAUAGAUGGAUCCGCGCUGCAUUAGCUAGUUGGUAAGGUAACGGCUUACCAAGGCAACGAUGCAUAGCCGACCUGAGAGGGUGAUCGGCCACACUGGAACUGAGACACGGUCCAGACUCCUACGGGAGGCAGCAGUAGGGAAUCUUCCGCAAUGGGCGAAAGCCUGACGGAGCAACGCCGCGUGAGUGAUGAAGGUCUUCGGAUCGUAAAACUCUGUUAUUAGGGAAGAACAUAUGUGUAAGUAACUGUGCACAUCUUGACGGUACCUAAUCAGAAAGCCACGGCUAACUACGUG